RNAcentral lists this ribosomal RNA (253 nucleotides) under uncultured Akkermansia sp. RNAcentral's name for it is "partial 16S ribosomal RNA". It matches the Rfam family "Bacterial small subunit ribosomal RNA", at positions 524 to 776 of the family's 1533-position model. Lineage: Bacteria; Pseudomonadati; Verrucomicrobiota; Verrucomicrobiia; Verrucomicrobiales; Akkermansiaceae. The record is from RNAcentral.
UACAGAGGUCUCAAGCGUUGUUCGGAAUCACUGGGCGUAAAGCGUGCGUAGGCUGUUUCGUAAGUCGUGUGUGAAAGGCGCGGGCUCAACCCGCGGACGGCACAUGAUACUGCGAGACUAGAGUAAUGGAGGGGGAACCGGAAUUCUCGGUGUAGCAGUGAAAUGCGUAGAUAUGUGGAAGAACACCGAUGGCGAAGGCAGCCUCCUGGGACGCAACUGACGCUCAUACACGAAAGCGUGGGGAGCAAACAGG